Molecule: long non-coding RNA, 242 nt
Filed under: Gossypium barbadense (sea-island cotton)
Lineage: Eukaryota; Viridiplantae; Streptophyta; Magnoliopsida; Malvales; Malvaceae
Description: long non-coding RNA (GBAR_LNC015552)
Source: RNAcentral
CUAAUUGUUUUUUAAUUUAUAUAUUAAAAAAUUUCUUAUAUAAUCGUAAAAGAAAUAUUAUUAAUUUUAAAAUAUUGAAUUAAUUAUCACUACAGUUUAGGGUUUUCAAUUUAGGGUAUAUGAUUUUAUUUAAAGAUUUAAGGUCAGUUUAAGAGUUCAUAUUUUAAGGUUUUAUGGAGUAUAUAUGGAUUAAUUAGGGAUUAUGGAUUAGGGAUUAUGGUUUAAUUAAGGGUUGGGAUUUA